CUCUUCGGAGUUGACGAUAAUGGAAUGAGCGGCGGACGGGUGAGUAACACGUAGGCAACCUGCCUGUAAGACUGGGAUAACUCGUGGAAACGCGAGCUAAUACCGGAUAACACUUUUCAUCUCCUGAUGAGAAGUUGAAAGGCGGCUUUUGCUGUCACUUACAGAUGGGCCUGCGGCGCAUUAGCUAGUUGGUAAGGUAACGGCUUACCAAGGCGACGAUGCGUAGCCGACCUGAGAGGGUGAUCGGCCACACUGGGACUGAGACACGGCCCAGACUCCUACGGGAGGCAGCAGUAGGGAAUCUUCCGCAAUGGACGAAAGUCUGACGGAGCAACGCCGCGUGAGUGAUGAAGGUUUUCGGAUCGUAAAACUCUGUUGUUAGGGAAGAACAAGUACUAUAGUAACUGAUAGUACCUUGACGGUACCUAACCAGAAAGCCACGGCUAACUACGUGCCAGCAGCCGCGGUAAUACGUAGGUGGCAAGCGUUGUCCGGAAUUAUUGGGCGUAAAGCGCUCGCAGGCGGUUCUUUAAGUCUGAUGUGAAAUCUUACGGCUCAACCGUAAACGUGCAUUGGAAACUGGGGAACUUGAGUGCAGAA
RNAcentral lists this ribosomal RNA (600 nucleotides) under Oceanobacillus iheyensis. Its description in RNAcentral is "bacterial SSU rRNA". It matches the Rfam family "Bacterial small subunit ribosomal RNA", at positions 76 to 653 of the family's 1533-position model. The record is from RNAcentral. Lineage: Bacteria; Bacillati; Bacillota; Bacilli; Caryophanales; Bacillaceae.